Molecule: small nuclear RNA, 126 nt
Organism: Arvicola amphibius (Eurasian water vole)
Lineage: Eukaryota; Metazoa; Chordata; Mammalia; Rodentia; Cricetidae
Source: RefSeq, a predicted model, not a curated record
CAUUUACAUGAAAGGAAAAGAGUUUAGCAUUGACUCUGAAAAGGACAGAAGAGUCACUUGGGCCAAACAACAUAAAGAUAUAUAAGGCAUUAUCAGCUACUUUCUGGCAUCUAACUAGUUUUUUAA